RNAcentral lists this ribosomal RNA (119 nucleotides) under Pteropus alecto (black flying fox). The record is from RNAcentral. Lineage: Eukaryota; Metazoa; Chordata; Mammalia; Chiroptera; Pteropodidae.
GUCUAUAGCCUUGCCACCCUGUACAUGCCCGAUGUCAUCUGAUCUCGGAAGCUAAGCAGGGUCGAGCCUGGUUAGUACUUGGAUGGGAGAUCACCUAGGAAUACCAGGUGCUGUAACUG